UUUCUCGCUCUGUAUCUCUAACACGUUUAUUUCAAAUAAAUGUUGCAGAAAAUUAAUUCCACAUAAUCACGAAGAAAAAACUGAAUAAAUCAACAAAUAAAAACAAAAAUGCAACGAUUUCAAAUAAAUGCAAAAAGAAAAAAAAGAGGUAAAACAAAGUAAACGGCCAUGCGUAAUAUAAUCUAAGAAAUAAAAGACGAUUAUACCCUCUCGAAAUUAAAAAAAGC
Molecule: long non-coding RNA, 227 nt
Filed under: Salvia miltiorrhiza (redroot sage)
Lineage: Eukaryota; Viridiplantae; Streptophyta; Magnoliopsida; Lamiales; Lamiaceae
Description: long non-coding RNA (SMIL_LNC014094)
Source: RNAcentral